AGCCUCAUAUAUGAUGCUCAUAUUGUCUACAUCAUGCAAGAAUAUAACUAUGACAUAUGAGAAUAUAUAUGUAUUCAUUGUCAUGUCCAUGCCACGUUCUGUCCAUACUUAUACAUAAGAUCGGAUGACGCUUAUCACAGUCCAUAUUCAUGCUUCAUGGUAAAGAAGCUUCAUUCUCCAAGUUAAAUUCUAACUUCAGUUAGCAAUUGGCAAAUAGUAAUUCUCAUAACUUUUUUUUUUGGUAAGUAAAAGGUAAUUCUCAUAACUACUUUUCAAAGGAAAGAAAAGCCAAGAUAAUAAUUUUAAAUACCUUCCAAAAAAAUAUCCAGCAAGUAGAAGUAAGCUUGCCAGGUUCGAUA
This 359-nucleotide long non-coding RNA is filed under the name Musa acuminata (dwarf banana). RNAcentral's name for it is "long non-coding RNA (MACU_LNC001750)". The record is from RNAcentral. Lineage: Eukaryota; Viridiplantae; Streptophyta; Magnoliopsida; Zingiberales; Musaceae.